CACCGGCAGCUCAAGUGGUGGCCAUUAUUAUUGGGCCUAAAGCGUUCGUAGCCGGUUUGAUAAGUCUCUGGUGAAAUCCCGCAGCUUAACUGUGGGACUUGCUGGAGAUACUAUUAGACUUGAGGUCGGGAGAGGUUAGGGGUACUCCCAGGGUAGGGGUGAAAUCCUAUAAUCCUGGGAGGACCACCUGUGGCGAAGGCGCCUAACUGGAACGAACCUGACGGUGAGUAACGAAAGCCAGGGGCGCGAACCG
RNAcentral lists this ribosomal RNA (253 nucleotides) under uncultured archaeon. RNAcentral describes it as "partial 16S ribosomal RNA". It matches the Rfam family "Archaeal small subunit ribosomal RNA", at positions 474 to 726 of the family's 1478-position model. The record is from RNAcentral.